This 12120-nucleotide long non-coding RNA is filed under the name Brassica napus (rape). RNAcentral describes it as "long non-coding RNA (BNAP_LNC003409)". Lineage: Eukaryota; Viridiplantae; Streptophyta; Magnoliopsida; Brassicales; Brassicaceae. The record is from RNAcentral.
UAAUACAUUAUUUGCUCUGGAGCUCCCGGUUCGCUCAAUUGGUCGGUAGUCAACUUAGCCAUAGCUUCGUCGUUUGGAGCUAAGACCGUCAAAACGUAGCCUUCCGACACGAGGCGACCCAUCUCGGUGGCUAGAGAAGUGAGGUUGACGAGAAUGUCCGCCAUCUCGUUGUAUCCACCGUAAUGGAGCAGAGUGUGGAUAAAGUCUUUGACUUGAGCCUCUCCGUUGAAAUGGUGGCGAGGCCCGCCCGGUCCUGGCGCCGGAGCCGGAGCGAGUGACGGACCGGGUGACAUUGCGUCGUAAACAGGGAGAACCGGUGGAGCCCGGCGGGAACUGGUGCAGGCUUUUUCUUGAGACGGUGGGUUCUCGGGUCGACUUCCGGUGCUCCUUCCGGUAACACGGCGGAGAUGGAUCGGAGGUUACGUCGGCGGUUGAAAUCUUCUUGGACGGAGCGAGGGAUCAAAAGACGUUCGAUCCCGUGGAUGAUACCAUCGGGUCGGGUUACGUCAUCGGGUUUAGUGAUUACGGCGGAGUUGACUUUUCCGGCGGUGAAAUGGAGGUGAUCGUUGGAGAGACUGCGGUGGCUGACGACGGAUGAGGCGGAGAGUUGCGGAGAAGUGAUUCUUUUGGGGAGAAUGUGGAACAUCAAGAGAGUUUGUAAUGAUUUGAGAUUCUUUGGUUGUAACAAGAAAGACUUGAACUCAGGGUCAAGGUUACGUUCUAAAGCUUCGUUACGAGGGGCGAAGAUCGUGAUGUUGUGUUGACCAACGGCUUCUUCUAAGGUUUGGAGGAGAAGAGCUUUCUCCACGAGUUCUGCUAGUUCGGUGUAGUGAGAGUCGAGAAGAGCCACGAGGACGGAGUUGGAGUUUAUUUGACCCGACCCGGUUUUAUCGGGUAAUGCGGUGGUGAUAAUGGAGGAGGCAGUCAAAAGGAGGAGGGAGAAGAGGAACUUGGAGACGCCUUCCCUGCGAGUGAGAGAAGAAAGAAUAGAAAGUGUCGGCGAUUUAAAGAGGUUUGGUUUGUAAUUUGAGAUGGUAAGGUGAUGUGAUUUUGAUUAUGAUUGUGAUGUUUCUUCUUCCCAACUUUUUUUUUUUUUUUGUGUUUCAUUUUCUUGGAUAUUUAAUGAUUUUCGGUGGGUGGGUUUAAAUGCUUUUCUCUAAUUGUUUUUUUUUAACAACGCUUUUCACUCUUUUCUCUAAUUGUAUUUAUUUAUUUAAUUUGGGAUUCGUUUUGGUUAUUUGGAGGACAAGAGUGAGGUCCACACGGGAAGUAAAAGUUAUGGUGACGUCUUUUUAAACUUGAAGCCAAGAGUUCAGCUUUUUCAACAACUCAUCAGCUUCUGGUCUUUGAGUUUGAGCCUCGUGUUGUGUGUGUCGGUUACUCAUAUGCACAAUUCACGUUGCCUUCGAGUCAAAUAUAUUUUCCCUUUUUUUGGGUUUUUUCUCCUGUGAUAAAAGAAAAAAAAUAUCAUUUGUUUCAUGUUUCAUAUUAAGUGUCACUUUAUCAUUUUUUCUUGUUACAAAAAUGUGUCAUUUUAGAAAUCUAAUACAACUUUCAGUUUAAAAUAAUUACAACUGCAUUGAUUUUAUAAAUAAUUUUAUUUAUCUCAAAUACUAUUGGUUGAUUGUGUAUAAUUAAUAAGAACUUAAAUACAUUUCAAUCAUUUUCUUAAACUGUGUGAAAAAUGUAAAAGUGACAUUUUUAUAAAACAGAGUGAGUAGAAAAUAGAACACACGGAAUCGUAAUGUGUUUAUUUGUGACUUAAACAUUGAUUAGUUUUGUGUUAAGAAAAAAAACAUUGAUUAGUUCUCUCAAAUGCAUUGCAAGUUUCCAUGACGAUUGCUACUUGUGAUUUAGGCUCUUGCCACUGGUUUCACACCCAUUAAUCAUUAUAUACCUUGGCCUAGUAAAGCAGCUUCCCACGAGAGAUUUCUAGUGUUCCAAACUCAUAUUUGAAAACCGAAAAAGUCUAGAAAGCUGAUUUACUAGGCAAAGGCAUAUAGAAAACUAAAGCUGCUUAGUUUGGGUUAUGAUCAUAUUCUUUAGUUUUUGGUGUACAUAAACAUUCUUUUUCAGAUGAUCAAUAAAUUUAAUAUUUCAUCAGAAAAAAAAAACUAAAGCUGCUUGGAAGAUAUAUGUAUGGUUUACUUAGUUCAGUUCAAAACAAUUAAAAUUAUCAUUGAACAUAUAUAUUGCAACCACCCAAAAAUUGAUCAUUUACAUUAUUACUUGAUUCUGUUCACAAAUUUUUUCACAUGUUUACAGAACUGUAAAAAUUUAUCAUGUCCGGAUUUCAUUUGGCCAUCUCACUGACAUGUGUGAAAUUGUGAACCAAACAUUCUGCAUGCUACCUCCAUCAAUUUCCCUGCACAUGAUACAAAAUCAGUUAGAAAUUAUUGUUUUUUGUUUGAGGAAAUUAUCAUUAUCCCAACCAGUUUGUUUUUCCUGGUGACAUUGUAUUGAAUUAACAAUAUAACAAGAAAAUAACAUUUAUAAUGAUUUAUUAUAACUUAAUGUUCAAAUAGAUAUAUUAAGACGGAAAAGGAAGUCAUGAAUCAGAGCAAGUUGUCUUUUUUAUAUAUAUCAAAGAGCAAGUUGUCUCUAUCAACCAAAAUGACACACAACUCCGCUUUUCAAAAAGAAAAUAAGCACUUUGUGGUUUUCUUUUUACUAUUAACAUGGGAUUCUUCGUCGGUGGGUGAUUAAAUAGUUUAUAAUCCAAAUUAAUCCCACACCAUUAUUUAAUACUAUUGGAAUAUAUGUUAUAUUAUCAUACCAAAGUUUGUUAACGAGACUUUGUCUCAUUCUCACACGUCUAAUCUCACUUUCUACUUAGUACUCUGUCAUUGCAAAGACUUAACUAUAUGUGACUAAUUAUAAUUUAUCUGUUUAUAAUCAUGGUUCAAUUAUAUUUUCCAUCAGCUAGAGAAAAAUCACACACAAAAUUCCUAAAGCAAUGAAUGUUAUUCUAGCUUUUGUAAUAAUGUUUCAAACAAACAAAACAAAAACUUUUCAAUGGUGUUAUGUACUAUGUUUAGUUUAAAAUUAAAUAGGUUGGGGUUAAAACGUCAAAAUCAGAUAGCUAACGACCAAAAUUAAGAAGCUUGAAAUUUAUUAAAAAUUGAUUACCUCUUCUCGGUUUAGCGGUUUUCUUAACAACCGGACCGGCGGAUUUCUUCUCAACCGGAGUUUCUUCCUCCGGGAAUAAAACACCGUCAAUCCCCUGAACCGAAAUACGUCCAUCGGUAUAGAUAUCAGGAUCGAACAAAUAAGCCGAACCGUCACCAUGACCGAAUUUAACCGAACCGUCUGCCUCCUGAGCCUCAACCUUGUGAGGAAACCGGAGCGAAUCAUACCGAAUUUUCCCAAACCGGCGUACAGAAUUGUACAUACUCUCCUCGGUUUGGUACUCCGGUAUGAUAUGGUAAUACAUUAUUUGCUCUGGAGCUCCCGGUUCGCUCAAUUGGUCUGUGGUCAACUUAGCCAUAGCUUCGUCGUUCGGAGCUAGGACCGUUAAAACGUAGCCUUCCGACACGAGCCGACCCAUCUCGGUGGCUAGAGAAGUGAGGUUGACGAGAAUGUCCGCCAUCUCGUUGUAUCCACCGUAAUGGAGCAGAGUGUGGAUGAAAUCUUUGACUUGAGCCUCUCCGUUGAAAUGGUGGCGAGGCCCGCCCGGUCCUGGUGCCGGAGCCGGGGCGAGUGACGGACCGGGGGACAUUGCGUGUGGUGCCGGAGCCGGAGCGAGUGACGGACCGGGUGACAUUGCGUCGUAAACCGGGAGAACCGGUGGUGCUCCGGCGGGAACUGGUGCAGGCUUUUUCUUGAGACGGUGGGUUCUCGGGUCGACUUCCGGUGCUCCUUCCGGUAACACGGCGGAGAUGGAUCGGAGGUUACGUCGGCGGUUGAAAUCUUCUUGGACGGAGCGAGGGAUCAAAAGACGUUCGAUCCCGUGGAUGAUACCAUCGGGUCGGGUUACGUCAUCGGGUUUAGUGAUUACGGCGGAGUUGACUUUUCCGGCGGUGAAAUGGAGGUGAUCGUUGGAGAGACUGCGGUGGCUGACGACGGAUGAGGCGGAGAGUUGCGGAGAAGUGAUUCUUUUGGGGAGAAUGUGGAACAUCAAGAGAGUUUGUAAUGAUUUGAGAUUCUUUGGUUGUAACAAGAAAGACUUGAACUCAGGGUCAAGGUUACGUUCUAAAGCUUCGUUACGAGGGGCGAAGAUCGUGAUGUUGUGUUGACCAACGGCUUCUUCUAAGGUUUGGAGGAGAAGAGCUUUCUCCACGAGUUCUGCUAGUUCGGUGUAGUGAGAGUCGAGAAGAGCCACGAGGACGGAGUUGGAGUUUAUUUGACCCGACCCGGUUUUAUCGGGUAAUGCGGUGGUGAUAAUGGAGGAGGCAGUCAAAAGGAGGAGGGAGAAGAGGAACUUGGAGACGCCUUCCAUGGUGGUCGAGGGAAAGAAGAGGAACUUGGAGACGCCGUCCAUGGUGGUCGAGGGAAAGAGUGAGAGAAGAAAGAAUAGAAAGUGUCGGCGAUUUAAAGAGGUUUGGUUUGUAAUUUGAGAUGGUAAGGUGAUGUGAUUUUGAUUAUGAUUGUGAUGUUUCUUCUUCCCAACUUUUUUUUUUUUUUUGUGUUUCAUUUUCUUGGAUAUUUAAUGAUUUUCGGUGGGUGGGUUUAAAUGCUUUUCUCUAAUUGUUUUUUUUUAACAACGCUUUUCACUCUUUUCUCUAAUUGUAUUUAUUUAUUUAAUUUGGGAUUCGUUUUGGUUAUUUGGAGGACAAGAGUGAGGUCCACACGGGAAGUAAAAGUUAUGGUGACGUCUUUUUAAACUUGAAGCCAAGAGUUCAGCUUUUUCAACAACUCAUCAGCUUCUGGUCUUUGAGUUUGAGCCUCGUGUUGUGUGUGUCGGUUACUCAUAUGCACAAUUCACGUUGCCUUCGAGUCAAAUAUAUUUUCCCUUUUUUUGGGUUUUUUCUCCUGUGAUAAAAGAAAAAAAAUUAUUCGACUAAAUGUUCAUUUUCAUAUAAACCAAAAAAUCUAUGAAAUGCCUUUUUGGGUAGUCAAUAACUUGUAAUAUCGUCACCAUGCUGGAUGAGCAAAUUAGCUUUUGAAUAAUAUAUAAAUUGCUAUUUAUAGUUGGUUAAAAAUAAUAUAUAAAAUAAAUUAGAUAUGUUCCAUCUUGAUAGAAUUACAAAUUGAUAUUUGUUGAUUUCUCAAAAAAAAAAUGAUAUUUGUUUAGCGUUAUUAAAUAUAACUAGAUUUCCACCCGCACAAACGUGCGGAUAUAUAUUUUCACAUUUAUAUAUAUAAAUAUUUGUUUUACAUAAUUAUUAUAUAUUUUUAAUGUUACUCAUAUAUUUAAAUAUUUGUAUAAUUAUGCCAAAUAUAAUAAUUUUAUAGUUUUUAUCUGUAAAUUAAAAUCAUCACAUAUAUAUGUUGCUUAUUAUAUAUUUGUCCUAUUGAAUUUGCGUUUGAUUACUAAACUAAUUUUUUUAAUGCGUGAAAUAAUAUAUAUGAAAACAAUUUUGUAUUUAAUAUAUUAUAAUCAUGAUCCGUAAUUCAAAUCGCUAAAUUUUUUAGUAAGUUUUUAAUGUUUAUUAAUUUAUAUAAUAAAUUACUGUAUAUUAAAAAGUUUGAGAUAAUUUAAAUUUUUAUACAUGUAUUAUAUAGUUUACUAAUAUUAACCCGUUCUACCAACAUAUUAUAUUUUUAGCACAAAUAUUUUAUAUUUAUGAAAAUAAAAUAUGUUAACUUAUCAAUUUAAAAUAAUUUUAUCAUAUUUUGUUCAAUAUAACGUUUUUAUUUUAAAAUGAUAGAUAUUAUCAUAAAUUGAUAAAAUAAGAUAUAAUUUUAUUCUUUUAGUAAAAUUUCAUUACUAAUUACAAAAUUAGUUGAAAAUAUUUAUAUUCAAUUUAUGACAAUUAAGAUCUUAUUAUAAUCUUUUUCAAGAGAUUUGUUAGAAUUUUAAAAAAAAAUUAAAAAAUUAAAAGAUAUAAAAGAUAUUAUGAUUAAAGUAGUUAAAAAUAUUAUAUAUAUUAGCAUUAGUGAUAUACAUUUAAUAGAAAAUUUAAAUGAUGGUCCAAAUAAAAAUAUCACUCAUCAAAAAAUCAUGAUUUUUGUUUUAUUAGAAAAAAAUUUGAAAAAAUUAAAAUAGAAAUAAAUAUUUAUUUCUAACAAAAUCUUUAAAAAUUAUUAGUAAAUGUAUUUUGAAAUUAAUAAAUUUCAUUUUACUUAAAUUUUCGUUUAUAAACCAAAACUAUAUUAAAUUUUAAUUUCGAAUUAUAUAUUAUGAUAAUUUAAAUUAAAACUAACUAAUUUUCGAAAGUAAAUUUAAAAAGAUUCUAAGAAGAUUUUAAAAAGAUUUUGUUAGAACAUUUUAAAUAUAUUCAUUUGUAUUUCAAAUAAAAAGAUAAAGAUUUUAAAAGAUAUAAUUUUCUAGGAAUGGUCCAAACUAAAAAAAUCACACAUGAAAAGAAGUCAUGACUUCUGUUUUAAUAUAUUAGAUAUCCAAGUAAAUCUAACUCCUUUUUUUAUCAAUAGAUAUUUGUUGAUUUCUCAAUAAAAAAUGAUAUUUGUUUAGCGUUAUUAAAUAUAAUAUCCAAGUAAAUUUAACUCCUUUUUUACCAACAAAAGUCAAUAAAACUUGCGAGAUGUGCAAAAUGAUAGGGUUUCAAUAGAAAAUGAUAAAAGUAUGUAGUUACAAUCCAACUGUGGAACUAUAUUUAUUUAUGGAAUUAUAAAAUUAGCAUUUUUUUUUGCCAAGAAUUUAAAUUUCAUAUAAAUAUGAGAAAAGUUUAUAAAACUUUACAAAAUAGUUAAAACUAGAUGGGGUGCACUUCGAAAAAAAAAAGAAUAAAAAACAAAGUGUAACCCAUAAUAGAAGAUUUUCUAAUCAUUCUUUAGCCAAGAAAACAUAAGGUUCUUGAAACUCUUCUUGUUGUGAUGUUUCCCCAAGAUUGAAUCUUUGAUGUUGCGAUCAAUGAGCUUACAAAUAGUUUGAGGAGUAGACGACAUUCCAUCAUGUAGACAUUUGUUCAUUUCCUCCUAGAUACUAUAGAUAGUUGCGUGAGCAACAAUUUUUUUGAGUAUCAGUAGAGCAGUGGAAUCUCUGAGAGAUAACCACUCAAUAAAAGAUGUCCAAGUGAUGAAGCAAGAGUGAGUAUAACCCAAACUUCUCAGAAUCAAAAUCCAAACUUGUUUAUUGAUUUCACAUUGUAAGAGCAUAUGGUCUCGGGUUUCCGACACUGUGUCACAGAGGCAGCAGUUUGAUGAGACCCCAAGGCCCUAGCUUGCGAGCCUCACUCUAGUUGCAUUAUAUCAUUCUGUUCAAUCCACAUGAGAAAAGCAUGUCGAGGAGUUGCCGUUUUGAACCAUACAAUGUUUGACCAAGUGACUGCAGGAGCUCUGUUUCUAAUCGCGUCCCAUGUCAUGCGAGAGGUAGAGAUGUCAUCUAAGUUCUCGCCAUCGACGAGCCAGUAAAAUACAUCAUCAGUUUGUGAGGAUGACGGCAAAUGAAUACUCAUGAUAUAAAUAUGGAGGCUAUCUGCAGCAGGCGAGCGCACACCUCUCAGUCUCCAACCAUUUUCAUCACAACUAUCUGCAACUGAAGCAAAUAGAGAAAUUGAGAGCUCACGAGGACCUGUGUCACCGAAUAUGUUGAUUAAACGGCCUAGAGGGGUCUAGAUAUCCCACCAAAAGCUUGUGCUUUCACCAUUUCUAACCUCUGCUCUUAAGACGCUUGUAGCUAAAGAUCGCAAGUUCAAGAGAGAUCUCCAUGUCCCUGAACCAGCUUUUUUAGCUUCGAGACUCCACAAACUCUCAUCUCCAAUUUUGUAUUUCUUGAUCCAAGAAGCCCAUAAAGAUAGAUUAGGAAUAUAUAGUCAAGUUGAGCUUCAGACAGAGGAUCUUAUUCCAAAUUUCCAGAUUUCUAAAACCAAGCCCCCCUUCUUUUUUGGGUAAACAGACUAUACUCCACGCAAUCUUUGUAACUCCAAGGUCAGUAACAUUUUCAGUCCAUAAGAAGCGAGAGAAUAAACUCUGAAUUUUCUGUAAGCAUCCUUUAGGCAGACCCCUAUUCGAAAAUGCGGCCGCCUAGACGCUGUUUGGAGGUUGACCGCGGCGAAUAUACCCAAAUCGGUGUAGCCAGGCGUUGACCCGCGUAAGACCGCCUCAUUUCCGCGUUGACCGCUUAUUCCCGCGUUGACCAUCUAAGUUUUUUUUUGUCAGUGUAAAGUUGAAACACGGUUGAUUAUUUUUACUCAUUAUUGACAGAUUUAUGUAAUUAUUCAUUACUAAAUAAUUUUAAUUAGCUAUCAAACCCAAAACAAACACAUAAUUACUGCAUUUAGGGAUUUGUUUUCGUAUCAAAUACACCAUAAUCUAAAUGUUCGACAAAUCAAAAGAGGUUAUUUAAAAUUAUAUAAUUAUGUCUACGAACAUGUGUUAUCAUGUUUAAAAUUAGCUAAAUAUAUUAUAAAUACAUUAAAUUGUAUUUAAAAUUAGUUCCCACGUAAUCCCCGAGUACUCCUCGAUUUUUUGGUAACUCGCUAUGCCCGGAAUUGUCGCCCGACUAGCGCCUAGCGUAGUUCCGAAGGGGGCAGAAUAAAAGCGGAGGUCCAGAAAUUUAUAGUUCCAUAGAUAACCAAUUUAAUCAACUCAGCUCGAUCAGCAUAAGACAACUUUUUGGAAGACCAAACAGUGAAAUGACCCUAGAUUGUCACUUACAGUGGCAUGCAGUCAGAAAUGCACAUCUUGCGGUGCAUCAGAGGAAGACCCAAGUAGCAGAUUGGCAUUGAACCCAGAGUGAAACCGGGACUUGUCAAAUGAGUAGUUUCAACUUGUUUCAAACCACCUACAAAGAGUUCGGUCUUGUCUUUGUUCAUCCUCAAACCAUACCAAGUGGCAAAUAACUUGAUAUAUGAUGUUUUAGACAUCUUGUAUAUAUGCUUUUCAACUAGUUUUCAAGUCUUUAUCGAGUCUUCCUAGUCCUUUUCGAGUCAUUAAAGGUCUGGAGCUGCAUUGGAUGGGAGAUGGACCAGUUGGAACAAAAAAGGUAGAAAACAGUGUAAUUUGGUGAUUUUCACGCAGAACAGUCGAGCGGAGCAACCCAAGUGCCUGUUCCAGCGGCAGAGAUUUUUAAGGAAAUUUCCAAAUAUUUCGGGAUUUUACCUAGGGCUUCCCUUUUUUUACUCCCAGGGCACCAUAGACCUGAAUAUAUAUAUUUUUUUAUUUUUUAUUAUGAUUCUACGCUAGUUUUUACAGAAGAAACCAUUGGAGACUUUUGUACUUGAAGAUUUGCUACCUUGAAAGGGAAAAUGCUUAAUCUCUCUCACCUUGAGAAGAUUCUUGAACCCUAUUUUAUUUAUUUAUUGAUUCAACAUGUUUUUUUCAUCUAUUGUCUCUGUGAUUUUUCUGUUCAUGGCUGAGUAGUCGCUUGUUAGGUUAAGGGUGUUAGGGAUCAUGGAUCAAUGAGCUAGACACAAAUAGGAUUGUUAUUCUUUGAUAUCUCUAUCUAUUGCUAAUCUUAAUGCUUGUGUUAAAAUGACUAUUUAUCAUCUGAUCAUAGGUUUAAUCUAAUCAUCAAAAGUGUUUUAGGUUGCUAGAAAAAUUAUAGAUAGGUGAUUUGUCCUUAGCCAACGAGAGCUGAUGUUAAGGCAAAUCGUAAACCAAUUGAAUCCAAACUUAAUGCUUGUCAUCAUUCUCUAAUCCAAACGACAGUUUAGGCAUUAAGAUUGCUUGAUAAAUUGGUAGACACCAUGAGAGUGGGUUUAUCUAUUCUUGUUGUUCAAGUUCUAGAUUGGCUCUUAUUGCCUUCCUGAAUAGUUAUGUAGCUGAUGAUCCUAAGUAUCUCGAUGAAUCACCCUGAACCUAGCUCUUUUAAUAAUCUGAAAACUGUAAAUCAAUCUCUUACUUGCUUGUUACGAAAUCCUCAAAUCUUAAAACCCCAUUAUUGUUUUAGCUAAGUAUUGAUCCCAUAGAAAUAAAUUGUAAUCGUUGGUCUCUGUGGAUUUGAUCCUAAAGUGCUAUAUCGACAUACUAUUCGAUUGUGGUAGUGUGCACAUUAGGUUAAUUAGUGUGCGUAUACAUGUAAUAUCAAUUUGGUGCCGUUGCCGGAGACCAUCUUUUUACCUUUAUUUUUGAUUAUUUAUUUAGUCUAAGAACUCAUAUAUAAUGUCCGGAAAAAAGAGAACUAAUCAGUCUUAGAGUGUUAUGAUUGGUGUAGAAUCUCAUUAAAGUCACCGAAAAUGAUCCAAAGGAUAUCUACUGCUAGCUGUGAUAUUGAACAUGCUUCCAACUCACUCCAAAGCAUACGUCUUUAAAUUCUACAGUUGGAGCCAUAGACAAAGGAUAUGACGAUCUCCUAAUUUAUUUGAGAGUCUCACAACACAAGAUGUCAUCUGAUUAAAACUCGAGAUAACUUUUACUAUAACCGAAGGAUACCAAACCACCCAUAUUCUUCCAAGAUCCGCGUGGUUAUAGUUUCCAUGGAAAUAUACCAACCUAGUAAAAUAAAAUUCAAAACAUUGUCCGAUUUAGAUAACUGUACAUGUGUCUCCACGAAACCACUAAAAAUAGGUUUAUUCUUCCGUAUUCAUUUUCUAAAACCUCUCCACGAGACCACCAAAAUUAGCAUUAUUAGUAUCGUAAAUUAAAGAAAAACCAAAAUUUGAUAAAAAAGAAAGAUGAAGAAAAACCAAAAAAAAAAAAAAAAGAGAAUCACGGGCAUAUCAAACAAAGUGUCGGUGUGACAUAAGAGACUCGAGGGAAUUUGUAUGAAAAUAUAAUUUAAUAUUGCAAAUGACAUUAUUGCCAAAAAGAAUUAAGUACCAUGUACCCUAUAGUUUAAUAUGAUUGUGAACUGCUUGCCGACUAAACACUAUUUACCUUGCGUUCUUUAGUAUCAAACGACAUUUAGAAAACACAUGCUUGCCCAAAAACACACAUCCAUCUUCCCUCUCGACAAAUUAUUUUUCUUACUAAAUCGCUGAUUUAGUGUGUUUGUUGAAUGAUAAAAUCCUCGCUGGUGAUCCUUCUGAUACACUAAAUAUGAAUCCUUGCUACUGCCAAGUUAACAGUUGUGAUUAUAGUACUUUAGAUUCAAUCCAGAGGACCAGUCUACACUUUACUCUUAUAAAUUUCAAUAUCAAGCUAAGAAGAAAAUGGUUUUUAAUUCAAUUGGUGACGCAGAAAACAAGUAAACUAGAGAUUGAUUCAAUUUAACAAGAAGCUAGCCUAGGGUAUUUCAUUGGGUGUUGAGCGAGAGCCAAACAAUUAUUCAAGCGCGGUGCAGUGCUUUCUAGAACUCGGAUCACUCAGCUGGAACACCCCACUGUCGUGGUGGUGAUCUCUUUGCUGGUCGAUCCCAUCAUCUAACUGUCGUUGAGAUGAGAAACGACUGCAAGCCUUAGAGGUCAGGUCCGAUCAGUUCACUUACUACCCUAAUAUCUACUUUCGCUGAUUAGGGAUACUAAGCUCAUUCAAUACAUGUCAAGCUAUCUCCUAAGCGGUUAGCUAGGCGAUAAACUUAGGAUCUAACAUCAAGUGAUCAGAUUAAUGGAAGCCUUAAGAAUAGUAUGGAUGAAGAAUAAUCAAGAAUAGCUUAUCUAUGUUUAGCUCAUAUUUCAACACCCUAAAAACCCUAGGCGAGCUAGAUCACUACUCAAUCAUGAUGCAAGCAAUCAAACACAUAGAUACUGAAUGAAAUUGCAUAAUAAUAAGAGUAGUAAACAAGGGUUCAGAAGGUCUUCUCUAUGAGAGAAUGGAUUCUUCUCCCUUACAAGUUGCAGAUCGCAAAAGCUAAUAGUUCUCUUGUAAAAACUAGCGUAAGAAAUAAAAUAGGAUAGGUGGCGUCUUUAUAUGGAGGCGCCAAUAGGUAGAAGAGAAAUUAGGGCAACAAGGCCUUAAUUCCCAAAAAUAGAAGCUUCCUUAUUUGUCGGGAACAACCUCGGGAUCACUCCGUCUGCUUGUUCUGCUUGAGAACAGUCUCGGGACUGUUCGUCUUGAGUGUUCUCCGCAAAAUGCUCCAAAAGGACAGCUUCUCUUCAAGCACGCUUUCUUCAUUCUUCUACCAACUCCAGACCUGUAAGAGAUCAAAAAAGACUAGAUUGACUUUGCAGUGGGAGCAGU